UACGUAGGGUGCGAGCGUUGUCCGGAAUUAUUGGGCGUAAAGGGCUCGUAGGCGGUUUGUCGCGUCGGGAGGGAAAAUCCAGGGCUUAACCCUGGGAUUGCUUUCGAUACGGGCAGACUGGAGGCAUGCAGGGGAGAACGGAUUUCCUGGUGUAGCGGUGAAAUGCGCAGAUAUCAGGAGGAACACCGGUGGCGAAGGCGGUUCUCUGGGCAUGUCCUGACGCUGAGGAGCGAAAGUGUGGGGAUCGAACAGG
RNAcentral lists this unclassified non-coding RNA (253 nucleotides) under uncultured Nocardioidaceae bacterium. RNAcentral describes it as "contains 16S-23S intergenic spacer region". It matches the Rfam family "Bacterial small subunit ribosomal RNA", at positions 524 to 776 of the family's 1533-position model. Lineage: Bacteria; Bacillati; Actinomycetota; Actinomycetes; Propionibacteriales; Nocardioidaceae. The record is from RNAcentral.